AGAUUUGUCUGCACGUUUAAAUGUGUAGCAGGUUUAGUCGGAGCUGUUGCAGGUGUCCAUCUGCUACACUUCCGCAGCAGGUUUCUCGUUGGCUUCCGGUCCAAGGAGGAAGGGCGGCUCUGAUCCUUCUCCGCGCGUUGGUAGCAGUCUAGCGGCGGCAUGGCGUGGUGGGAUAGGCUCGGCUCUACCUUCCGCUGCUCUCAAAGGACCCGUACAACUUGAAACCACAGAGUUGUGUUCACGGCCUAUCAGGUCAACCUCUCGUUCUCAGCGGGUACGACGGUUGAGUUUUUUGUAGAUGUUGACACUUUCCUUUUAGGUGGUUCCCCUUCUUAACCAGAUAACUUCUCCUAUUAGACAACCACCGUCGUACCCACGUGUGAUUAAACCUACGAAACUAUCUUUGUCUAGUUUGUAGUUUAAGAAUAACCCCAUCCUAAAUACUAAUGAUGUCGUGCGCGUUCUUUCACAGUACCGGCCACGCACAAGUUUUACGUGAGUUGACAGCAACCUGGUGAUAAUUACUUGUUCACUCGUUCAAAACACCUAUGAUAGUCGUUUAUGAAUUAUCUUUGGUUUCGCCUCACUGAUAACGAGUCGUCGUUCGGGUCCGUGAACAAGACAUGGUCAGGUUUCUAGGAUUUUUCUCCGGUAAAUGUAAUUACGUAACAACCAAUCACAACCUUUUCGUAGGAUUCACCCUCUUAGCACACUAAAGGUUCCCCGGAGUCUUUUUCGUCUUCUUCUGGAGCCUACGUUCAGGUCCAUGCUGAAGAUUACUGCUUCUGAAGCUCUCUACGUGACUACGAGAACUUUGUCUCUGUUCUGGACUACCAUUAUUCGCCCUCUUUUGGGUAAAUGUUUUUCGAUUUCGAAGACGAAGACUACGAAAAUCAGGGUUCAAUAGUAAUCUUUUACACACCCGUGUUUUCAAUUUCUUCCGACUCCAGUUUCAAUGGUUCUCUCCCUCUACAGUAUGUUCGUUAAACUCAAUCUUCUCUUCUAGUACAGGUACCUGUGAUGACAAUACUAACCCCGAGUUGUUCUUAUGAUGUACUUGUUCGUCUUACUCUAGCGGCGAGCGGCCAAGUUGUGUAGCCCAACUUGGUAAACAGUCCAUUUUUCCAUGGACAGAGAGGCACAAUAGACUUCUAUUAUUUAAGUAGCUGUUCUGUUUAUAAGAAGUCUAUUGAGGUGUGCCCUCGGUCUCGUUCUCGAACAUCGAAACAAUUACAAAGAGGUCUCUGUUAGUACGUACGACCCUGUUUCGAUUCCAGUUGCAAAACUAGAUGCGGUCUUCGUUUGAAGUCAAAAGUUACGAGGAGUCUCGGACUAAAGAAUUACCUUCUAAGGCACCUGUACUUGUCCUACGACCAAAGAUCCUCGAAUACGUGCGGCAAAGAAUAAUUGACGUUCAUGACUACAAAACUUCAUUUUAUUACGUACACGUGUACGACUCCGCUUCACCAACACCAAACACUGACUAGUUCAAUCAACUAACAUCCAAGUCUUAUUAUAAUCAUGUUAGUAUGAUCAGGGGUAAAACAUAAACAACUCAAGACCUACCACCCCGGUGUACCAGCAUUGAGUGUGACACGACACUAUAUUAUACAUUUUUAUAAAACGCGGGCCCUAAACAACGUGAAUGUCUUGUCGACAACCGGACGACGAAGGUAUUUAAUUAAUGUCAAGUGUCAAUGCCAACAUUUGAUACUCUUGACUCGAUCCAACAACUUGGGC
Molecule: ribosomal RNA, 1740 nt
Filed under: Triticum aestivum (bread wheat)
Lineage: Eukaryota; Viridiplantae; Streptophyta; Magnoliopsida; Poales; Poaceae
Description: partial small subunit ribosomal RNA
Source: RNAcentral